GAGUUCAAGCAGGGAUCCGUGUGAUCACUGUUCUCUUGCCAGGACACGAGGUGGACAAUAAGGUCCCUUUGUAAAUAGUUGGUGGAAGUUCUCGCUUGCGGGCUGCAACGGGAGUCGCACGGGGAAGCGGGAGGAGCGGCUGCUGAGCCAGAG
RNAcentral lists this long non-coding RNA (153 nucleotides) under Carlito syrichta (Philippine tarsier). Its description in RNAcentral is "TP53 target 1 conserved region 1 (ENSTSYG00000034709.1)". It matches the Rfam family "TP53 target 1 conserved region 1". The record is from RNAcentral. Lineage: Eukaryota; Metazoa; Chordata; Mammalia; Primates; Tarsiidae.